Molecule: ribosomal RNA, 228 nt
Filed under: Paenibacillus timonensis
Lineage: Bacteria; Bacillati; Bacillota; Bacilli; Caryophanales; Paenibacillaceae
Description: partial 23S ribosomal RNA
Rfam family: Bacterial large subunit ribosomal RNA
Source: RNAcentral
AUUUAAAGAGUGCGUAAUAGCUCACUGGUCGAGUGACUCUGCGCCGAAAAUGUAACGGGGCUAAACACACCACCGAAGCUAUGGCUAGAUGCUUUGCAUCUGGGGUAGGGGAGCGUUGUAUGUAGGUUGAAGGUGUACCGUAAGGAGCGCUGGACAGCAUACAAGUGAGAAUGCCGGUAUGAGUAACGAAAAGAUCAGUGAGAAUCUGAUCCGCCGAAAGCCUAAGGG